CCUACGGGAGGCAGCAGUGGGGAAUAUUGGACAAUGGGCGAAAGCCUGAUCCAGCCAUGCCGCGUGUGUGAAGAAGGCCUUCGGGUUGUAAAGCACUUUCAGUGGGGAAGAAAGCCUUGGGGCUAAUACCCUCGAGGAAGGACAUCACCCACAGAAGAAGCACCGGCUAACUCCGUGCCAGCAGCCGCGGUAAUACGGAGGGUGCGAGCGUUAAUCGGAAUUACUGGGCGUAAAGCGCGCGUAGGCGGUCUGAUAAGCCGGUUGUGAAAGCCCCGGGCUCAAACUGGGAACGGCAUCCGGAACUGUCAGGCUAGAGUGCAGGAGAGGAAGGUAGAAUUCCCGGUGUAGCGGUGAAAUGCGUAGAGAUCGGGAGGAAUACCAGUGGCGAAGGCGGCCUUCUGGACUGACACUGACGCUGAGGUGCGAAAGCGUGGGUAGCAAACAGGAUUAGAUACCCGAGUAGUC
This 465-nucleotide ribosomal RNA is filed under the name Vreelandella stevensii. Its description in RNAcentral is "partial 16S ribosomal RNA". It matches the Rfam family "Bacterial small subunit ribosomal RNA", at positions 338 to 795 of the family's 1533-position model. The record is from RNAcentral. Lineage: Bacteria; Pseudomonadati; Pseudomonadota; Gammaproteobacteria; Oceanospirillales; Halomonadaceae.